RNAcentral lists this ribosomal RNA (705 nucleotides) under Curtobacterium flaccumfaciens. RNAcentral describes it as "bacterial SSU rRNA". It matches the Rfam family "Bacterial small subunit ribosomal RNA", at positions 104 to 823 of the family's 1533-position model. Lineage: Bacteria; Bacillati; Actinomycetota; Actinomycetes; Micrococcales; Microbacteriaceae. The record is from RNAcentral.
GGGUGAGUAACACGUGAGUAACCUGCCCCUGACUCUGGGAUAAGCGUUGGAAACGACGUCUAAUACUGGAUAUGAUCACUGGCCGCAUGGUCUGGUGGUGGAAAGAUUUUUUGGUUGGGGAUGGACUCGCGGCCUAUCAGCUUGUUGGUGAGGUAAUGGCUCACCAAGGCGACGACGGGUAGCCGGCCUGAGAGGGUGACCGGCCACACUGGGACUGAGACACGGCCCAGACUCCUACGGGAGGCAGCAGUGGGGAAUAUUGCACAAUGGGCGAAAGCCUGAUGCAGCAACGCCGCGUGAGGGAUGACGGCCUUCGGGUUGUAAACCUCUUUUAGUAGGGAAGAAGCGAAAGUGACGGUACCUGCAGAAAAAGCACCGGCUAACUACGUGCCAGCAGCCGCGGUAAUACGUAGGGUGCAAGCGUUGUCCGGAAUUAUUGGGCGUAAAGAGCUCGUAGGCGGUUUGUCGCGUCUGCUGUGAAAUCCCGAGGCUCAACCUCGGGCUUGCAGUGGGUACGGGCAGACUAGAGUGCGGUAGGGGAGAUUGGAAUUCCUGGUGUAGCGGUGGAAUGCGCAGAUAUCAGGAGGAACACCGAUGGCGAAGGCAGAUCUCUGGGCCGUAACUGACGCUGAGGAGCGAAAGCGUGGGGAGCGAACAGGAUUAGAUACCUGGUAGUCCCCGCCGUAAACGUUGGGCGCUAGAUGU